Molecule: ribosomal RNA, 447 nt
Filed under: uncultured bacterium
Lineage: Bacteria
Description: partial 16S ribosomal RNA
Rfam family: Bacterial small subunit ribosomal RNA
Source: RNAcentral
AUGCCAGACUCCUACGGGAGGCAGCAGUGGGGGAUAUUGCACAAUGGGGGGAACCCUGAUGCAGCGACGCCGCGUGGGUGAAGAAGCGCCUCGGCGCGUAAAGCCCUGUCAGCAGGGAAGAAAAUGACGGUACCUGAAGAAGAAGCCCCGGCUAACUACGUGCCAGCAGCCGCGGUAAUACGUAGGGGGCAAGCGUUAUCCGGAUUUACUGGGUGUAAAGGGGGCGCAGACGGCAGCGCAAGCCAGGAGUGAAAGCCCGGGGCCCAACCCCGGGACUGCUCUUGGAACUGCAUGGCUGGAGUACAGGAGGGGCCGGCGGAAUUCCUAGUGUAGCGGUGAAAUGCGUAGAUAUUAGGAGGAACACCAGUGGCGAAGGCGGCCUGCUGGACGACAACUGACGGUGAGGCGCGAAAGCGUGGGGAGCAAACAGGAUUAGAUACCCUUGUA